RNAcentral lists this non-coding RNA (24 nucleotides) under Arabidopsis thaliana (thale cress). Lineage: Eukaryota; Viridiplantae; Streptophyta; Magnoliopsida; Brassicales; Brassicaceae. The record is from RNAcentral.
AGGUUCAGGGCCGAAACCCGUAAU